This 468-nucleotide ribosomal RNA is filed under the name uncultured bacterium. RNAcentral's name for it is "partial 16S ribosomal RNA". It matches the Rfam family "Bacterial small subunit ribosomal RNA", at positions 28 to 507 of the family's 1533-position model. The record is from RNAcentral.
GAUGAACGCUGGCGGCGUGCUUAACACAUGCAAGUCGAACGGUGAAGGCGGAGCUUGCUCUGCUGGAUCAGUGGCGAACGGGUGAGUAACACGUGAGCAAUCUGCCCCUGACUCUGGGAUAAGCGCUGGAAACGGCGUCUAAUACUGGAUACGAGCUGCGAAGGCAUCUUCAGCAGCUGGAAAGAACUUCGGUCAGGGAUGAGCUCGCGGCCUAUCAGCAUGUUGGUGAGGUAACGGCUCACCAAGGCGUCGACGGGUAGCCGGCCUGAGAGGGUGACCGGCCACACUGGGACUGAGACACGGCCCAGACUCCUACGGGAGGCAGCAGUGGGGAAUAUUGCACAAUGGGCGAAAGCCUGAUGCAGCAACGCCGCGUGAGGGACGACGGCCUUCGGGUUGUAAACCUCUUUUAGCAGGGAAGAAGCGAAAGUGACGGUACCUGCAGAAAAAGCGCCGGCUAACUACGUG